RNAcentral lists this unclassified non-coding RNA (190 nucleotides) under air metagenome. RNAcentral describes it as "partial contains small subunit ribosomal RNA, internal transcribed spacer 1, and 5.8S ribosomal RNA". The stretch from base 1 to 46 matches the Rfam family "Eukaryotic small subunit ribosomal RNA", at positions 1786 to 1831 of the family's 1831-position model. The record is from RNAcentral.
AAGUCGUAACAAGGUUUCCGUAGGUGAACCUGCGGAAGGAUCAUUAGUGAAGAUUCCCGUCCUCGGACGGGAGUUCAAACCAAAAACCCAAGUGAACAACCCGCCCUCUGGCGACCUUACAAAACAAAUCAGUCCAGAACGUAAUCUAUGAAAUGAAACACAACUUUCAACAACGGAUCUCUUGGCUCUC